Molecule: ribosomal RNA, 464 nt
Filed under: uncultured bacterium
Lineage: Bacteria
Description: partial 16S ribosomal RNA
Rfam family: Bacterial small subunit ribosomal RNA
Source: RNAcentral
CUACGGGGGGCAGCAGUGGGGAAUUUUGGACAAUGGGCGCAAGCCUGAUCCAGCCAUUCCGCGUGAGUGAAGAAGGCCUUCGGGUUGUAAAGCUCUUUCGCAAGGGAAGAAAACUUAUCCUCUAACAUAGGGUGAGGUUGACGGUACCUUGAUAAGAAGCACCGGCUAACUACGUGCCAGCAGCCGCGGUAAUACGUAGGGUGCGAGCGUUAAUCGGAAUUACUGGGCGUAAAGCGUGCGCAGGCUGUUUUGUAAGUCAGAUGUGAAAUCCCCGAGCUCAACUUGGGAACUGCGUUUGAAACUACAAGACUAGAGUAUGUCAGAGGGGGGUAGAAUUCCAUGUGUAGCAGUGAAAUGCGUAGAGAUGUGGAGGAAUACCAAUGGCGAAGGCAGCCCCCUGGGAUAAUAUUGACGCUCAUGCACGAAAGCGUGGGGAGCAAACAGGAUUAGAUACCCCAGUAGUC